GGGAUAUAGCUUAGUUGGUAGAGUGCUUGCCUAGCAUGCAUAAGGCCCUGGGUUCAAUCCCCAGUCCCA
RNAcentral lists this transfer RNA (69 nucleotides) under Marmota monax (woodchuck). RNAcentral's name for it is "tRNA.Ala". It matches the Rfam family "tRNA". Rfam says of the family: Transfer RNA (tRNA) molecules are approximately 80 nucleotides in length. Their secondary structure includes four short double-helical elements and three loops (D, anti-codon, and T loops). The record is from RNAcentral. Lineage: Eukaryota; Metazoa; Chordata; Mammalia; Rodentia; Sciuridae.